GGCGUCCGCGAUGUUUACGGUGAGGAUACUGCCACUGAGGAUCAGCUUGUCACGCCUUGGUCCCUUUCGGUUGCUAGUGGAUAUUCUUUGUUGCGAGAUCCACACCACAACAAAGGACUUGCCUUCAAUGAUAAAGAAAGAGAUGCCCACUACUUGCGUGGCCUUCUCCCCCCAGCUGUGGUUUCUCAGGAGGUUCAGGUGAAGAAACUGAUGCACAUUAUUCG
This 224-nucleotide unclassified non-coding RNA is filed under the name Hevea brasiliensis (rubber tree). The record is from RNAcentral. Lineage: Eukaryota; Viridiplantae; Streptophyta; Magnoliopsida; Malpighiales; Euphorbiaceae.